UAUUAGGUUUUAUGGUUGCAAGUGCAAUAAUAGGGAAUGAGGUUAGAAUCCUCAACAGCCCCCGCUACUGUAAUAGCUACGAAACUCUUAAAAAACCACUAUGAAUAAUUCAUGGGAAGGUAGAGAGAAGUAGGUUGGAUGCUAUAAGUCAGGAGACCUGCCAUAAAAUAA
Molecule: non-coding RNA, 171 nt
Filed under: uncultured Clostridium sp.
Lineage: Bacteria; Bacillati; Bacillota; Clostridia; Eubacteriales; Clostridiaceae
Source: RNAcentral